ACCGGCGACGAACGCCUUCAAUCGCGACUGGAAUUGGUGCAAAAAAGAGGUAAUCCUCAUUUAUUACAAUUUAAAGACCAGCUGAAGAAAACUCAAGCUGUUUCAAACCAAAUGGAAGUUGAAGCAAAGAAGUUGAAUUGAGAGUUAAUAAAUUGGAGGACAAUUUAAGAACAGACAACAUAUCUAGAGAGGCCAAAGGAUCAAGAGAGAUGGCGCCUACAAGAACACAAUGCAAGAGCUUGUGUUUGUAACUCAGUGAAGCUCUCUCUCUGACUUGAGGGGAAAAAAGAAACUCUUUUCUGAGUUUAGGUAAUUAACCAGGGUUAGUUUUCAACCGUGGUUAAGAGUAUUAACUGGGUUACAGAUCUGACGGUCAGCAUUGCUUUGAUGAAAAGAUUGAGAGAAUCUUGACCGUUCAGCAGGGGGGCAUCAUGCAUGUGUCCUUAUCUCUCGUUUUGAAGUCUCUCUCAUUCUCUCUCACUCUCCCUUUCCCUCUCUCUCUCUGAUAAAGGUCUUACCAAAGAGAUCGGUA
Molecule: long non-coding RNA, 532 nt
Filed under: Citrus sinensis (sweet orange)
Lineage: Eukaryota; Viridiplantae; Streptophyta; Magnoliopsida; Sapindales; Rutaceae
Description: long non-coding RNA (CSIN_LNC005811)
Source: RNAcentral